Molecule: ribosomal RNA, 592 nt
Filed under: uncultured bacterium
Lineage: Bacteria
Description: bacterial SSU rRNA
Rfam family: Bacterial small subunit ribosomal RNA
Source: RNAcentral
GCGUGGGAAUCUACCCAUCUCUACGGAAUAACUCAGGGAAACUUGUGCUAAUACCGUAUACGCCCUUAGGGGGAAAGAUUUAUCGGAGAUGGAUGAGCCCGCGUUGGAUUAGCUAGUUGGUGGGGUAAAGGCCUACCAAGGCGACGAUCCAUAGCUGGUCUGAGAGGAUGAUCAGCCACACUGGGACUGAGACACGGCCCAGACUCCUACGGGAGGCAGCAGUGGGGAAUAUUGGACAAUGGGCGAAAGCCUGAUCCAGCCAUGCCGCGUGAGUGAUGAAGGCCCUAGGGUUGUAAAGCUCUUUCAACGGUGAAGAUAAUGACGGUAACCGUAGAAGAAGCCCCGGCUAACUUCGUGCCAGCAGCCGCGGUAAUACGAAGGGGGCUAGCGUUGUUCGGAAUUACUGGGCGUAAAGCGCACGUAGGCGGAUACUUAAGUCAGGGGUGAAAUCCCGAGGCUCAACCUCGGAACUGCCUUUGAUACUGGGUAUCACGAGUCCGGAAGAGGUGAGUGGAAUUCCGAGUGUAGAGGUGAAAUUCGUAGAUAUUCGGAGGAACACCAGUGGCGAAGGCGGCUCACUGGUCCGGUACUG